CCUGCCCUUACCCUGCCCAGGAGGGCGCUGGGAGGAGCCAGGCCUCGGUGUCCUCCUCCAGGCUGCCCUGGAGACCCAGAGGAAGCUGCGCACAGCACGCACUCAGCCCUGGCUCUGGAGGGAAAUGGCAAUGGCCGUGCUGCUGCUGGAACCAAAGCCCACCCCGAAGGAGAAGGGACCCAGGCCUGUGUGACACUGACCAACAGGACAGGCUUCCUGUGCCAUGACCAGAGGAUCUGCGUGCCUGCCAGCACGGUGUGUGAUGGCUUUCACACUUGUCCCCAUGGCGAGGAUGAGGACGAGAGCCUGUGCCUGACCACGUGCCCACCCUGCGGCCCUGGGUGGUGGCGCUGCCUUCCCACCGUCUUCCAGUACUGCGGCUGUGUCCCAAGGGCCCUGUGCCAGGAUGGCACACAGCACUGCUCCGACUGGUCUGAUGAGUACACCUGUCUGCGCACCCUGACCAGGCUGUCCAGGCCAGCCAGAGGCUGCUGGGAAUGGCGUUAAUGACAGCUCCUGCGAACCCUGAAUUCUGGGCCACCAGGGCAGGAAGGAGCUCUCACAAUCGUCCAGUGGAGUGUGGGUGCAGCUCCACGGUAAAGCCCUUUCCUAUCAUGCACGAGGCCCUGGCUUCCAUCUCAGCACUGCAAAGCAAAGUGAAACACAAAUCGCCCAGUGGUACCUCUGCAUCCUCUUAUGAAUAGGAAUUGGCUCUCCUACUUUCCAGUUGCUCAGCCUCUCCUUGAACACCUCUGGCGCCAGGGAGUUCUCUCAGAUGCUAGGCAGCUUCACACAAAGUUGAGAAUCUGCCUCUGUGGUUUUAGAUCUGUCCAGGGCCUCCCAUUGGAAAUCUGCUCCUCUGCUCCAAGUCAGGUUUUCAGAUCCUGAUCUUAAUUACACCUUGGAGAGGAGAUCAGUCUGGGGCCUCUCUGCCAAGCAGAGCAGUUCAGCCCUCCAGGAUGGCACAGAAGCGAAGCAUUUGGUACUUCUUGCCCUGCUCGUAUUUAAGGCAGCAGUGCUGCGUGUUUCUUGCUGACUGGUCAUGGGAGAUUUUGAGGGAGGCAGGGCACUUGCCACCCCACCAGUGGGAAGCAUCCAGAGACUUGCAGCUGUAGAACAGAAGAUGUGCAGAAGAGAAAGAGGGCUCACCACUUUCUGUCCACCCUGCCAAGCUCCUCUUUGUGCUUCACCCCAGCUGCCAGCCGGCAGCCCAGGGUUCCUGAAGAAAGGAUCCGACCCACAGUGAGCUGCUUCUUUACAUCUACCCACUUCAUGACACCCAGGCAGGCAAGGAUGGAUGUCUCCACCAGACGGACGGGGAAACUGAGGCCCAGGAGAAACAAUAAGCCCAGGAUCUUAGCCAAAGUAAGGGCUAGAACUGAGACUCAGACACAGCCAGCUGCACCCCAGCCCAAAACCUUUCUAACUGUCCACAGGACCAUGCCCUGGCAGGGGUGCAGAAAGUGUCCCACACUCAUUCUGGAGGUGUGGAGAGAGAGGUAGACUCUGGAGAAGGGGGGUCCUGUCAGAGGAGACAGAUCUAUCUCCAUUCGGUUUUAUAGAUCAGUCUCCUGAGUGUUGAAUUGGAAAUGGGCAACAGAGUGGUGAGCACUACUUCAUUCACCGCCCCAUUCCUUCCUUGGCCAUCUCGCUCUGCAUACCUGGGAGUCGGAGUGCCAGGGCACCAAGGAAGAGGCCGGGGACAGUGGCUGCACCUCACAUCAUGGCGGGGAGGGUGGCACAGUGGAAAAGGCUGGGCCCCAAGAGGUGCCUGAGGGAGCCAGGCCAUCACACUUCUGACUCGAUCCUGAUCCUCCAAAGACAGUGCUGGACCCGAGCUCCCAGGUGCUGUUUGGAGCUGCGCUCUGCCACCUUCUGCCCAGUUUCUCUGCGGAGUCCCCCGCCUGCCCUGCCCCACCCUGGGCUCCCCACGGUUUGCUUACGCCUGCUGACCCAAGGAGCCUCCCUCCCCCAGGACACUUAUGGAGGAAGGUGGGGAAAGGGCAACCCGGGUCUGUCCCUGUGAGGAAAGCACGGGUGAGCGGGGCUCAGCCAGGAAAAGUCCACCGGGCCAGGGUGGGCAACGCCCAGGGUGGGGGAGGAGGGGAGGUGCGUGAGAGGGGAGAGAUGUAGGAGGGCACGGCGGUCACACUGUACCCUUAGGGCAGUGGGGCAUCAAUGGGGCAUUAAGCAGGGAAAUGUCUCAGUGGAGAGGCGAGGUAGGGAGCUGACCUGCGUGUCAUGAGUUGGGGACAGAGCAGGCAGCCGGGCUCCGAAGUCCAGCAGUAAGGGUUAGCUGUCCCUUGUUGCCUCAGGAGGGCUUGCUACAGAGGUCACCUGAGCAGGGACUCGGAGAGAAAGGAGCCGCACCACAGUGUGGGGCUAGGGGGAGGAGUGGCCCCCAAGCUGAAGGAGUGGGAAUCCUUGGUGCCCGAGGGUGUAGAAGAGCUUGGCUUCCAGACCACAGAGAGGGACCUUGGCUAAGACUGCAGGGUGCUGGCCGAGGUUUUCAGCAGCAGGAACACACGUGAUCCACUUUGAGAAGGGCUGCAAAGAAGGCUGAGGAAGAAGGGUCCAGAACCCCGAAAACUGCUGGGCUUCCGGGGAGGACAAGGAGAGGUCCAAAAACAGCAAAGCUUCCUGCAGAAAAAGUGGAGCCCAGUGCUGCACUGGCAGCUGUCACAAGAAUUAGAAGCCAAGGCCAGAGAUUUAGCUCAGUGGUUCUGCCGCCUGCCUUGCAACCACAAGCACCAGAGUUCGAUCCCUGGUACCAAAAAAAAAAAAAAAAAAAAAAAGAAUUAGAAGCCAAAGGCUGGGGAUUUAGCUCAGUGGUUCCGGUGCCUGCUGCGCCAAGCCCAAGGUCCUGAGUUCGAUCCCUGGUACCGAAAAACAAAACAACAAGAAUUAGACGUCAGCAUUUAUUUAGCGGGAAGGCCUGAUCUCUGAACUCUGGAACCUCAUUUCCUCCAAUCUUCACAAGCACUCCAGAACCCUGGUUGGUUAUUCCACUUUGCACAGGCACAGAGAGAUACGUGUUUGGCUAGGAUCACACAGCUUUUUCUUCUGAUUCUUUUUUUGGUACCAGGAUCGAACUUGGGUCCUUGCACUUGUGCAGCAGGUGGCAAAACCACUGAGCUAAAUCCCUGGCCCAGGAUCACACAGCUUUUAAGAUGCAGAUUCAGGAGCUAAACUUUGAUGGGCUCAAAAUCAGAGCUCACCAGGGCCUUCAAGCGUGUGCCUCAUUCUCUCUCAGCCAGGUCUCCUAGAGGGCAGCUGAACCCAGGGCAGGGGCUCAGUCUGCAGUUAGUAUCUGGCACUGGCAGGAGAACCUGCAUUUGUUCUUCUUUGUCUACUGUUCUUCCUCUCAGAAAGGAACAUGUGCUGAACUAACCUCCAAACCACACUCCACAAGGCGGACCUGGGAAGACCCAGGGCAGAAAAGUGGGGCAGGCCCUCCCCUGGUGGCGUCAGCAGAGCAGCCUGGGGCGAGAGCUCAGCAGCCAGCAUCAAUAUUUGCCCUCUCCCUGCCUCCUUGGCCCUAGUUCCAAGAUCAGGACUUUAGUACAACAGGUUCUUCGCUGUGCAAACAUGCAGGGCUAGAUGAAUGGAAUUUAAAGGGGCUCAGGCUGGGCCCCAGGGUCUGGACUGGAAAUCUGGUCUGGUUUAACUGUCUGCCGUCACUGUUUGCCAGGAGCUGUCUCUUCAUCCUUAGACACACAGCACAGACGUCAGGCGCGGGCAGGGAUCUCAGAGCACAGCCUGGCUUUUGACGAAAAGAGGACACUGCUUCUCAGAGAGGAAGGGAACCUGCCCUAGGCUGCACUGCCUGGUGGCUGUCACAUAUUCACUCAGUGGUCCCCCCUUGUCUAUGGGGUACAUUCCAGGAUCCCCCAGUGGAUGGGCAAAGAGCACCAAACCCUGCAUGUACUAUGUUUUUUCCUAUUCAUACAUUCCUAGGAUAAAGUUUAAUUCAUAAAUUAGGUACAGUAAGAAAUCAAUGGCAAUAACCAAUAAUAAAAUAGAACAGUUGUAACAACAUACUGUAAUGAAAUUCCCAGCAUCACUUGUCUUGUGUUUGGGGCCAUUAUUAAGUAAAAUAAGGGUUAUUUGAACCCAAGCACUGUGCUACUGCAGUAGUCCAUGGCUAUGAAGUGGCCUACAGAGGUAGUGUAGACAGGGUGGAUCUGCUGUCAAAGGCACAACUUAUAUCUAGGAAAUUUACCACACUCCUCAGAAUAACACAGUAUUUAAAACUUGUGAGUUGUUUUUUCUCUGGACUUUUCCAUUUCAUAUUUUCAGAUUGCAUAUAACCACAGGUAACUGAAACCUCAGAGAAUGAAACCUUAGAUAGGGGAACAUGUACAUGUGUUAUGUGUAUAAAUUACAUACAUGAAAUACACAAUUUUUCUUCAGUACUAGGAAUUGAACCCAGAGUUUUAUAUAAUCUAGGCAACCACUCUACCACUGAGCCAUGUCUCAGCCUUUUCUUUUUUUAAAUUUUGAGACAGGAUCUAAGUUGUCCAGGCUGGCCUCAAACUUGCAAUCCUCCUGCCUCAGCCUCCCAAGUAGCUGGGAUUAUAGGCACAUGCCACCACAUCCAUCUGAAAUGUACAAAUCUUUUUGGGUUUUUUUGCUUCUCCAAGAAUAUAUAUGUAUUGUCAUUUCACACAAUUUAAUCUAUGCAUUUAACUUACAGUGCUUGGAGGAGGCAAUGCCACAUGGUACCAGGCCAUCAUAUUUUUUAAGGGAAAUCACUUUCAGAAAUAUACAAAUCUUAAUUGUAUAGUUCAAUGAAGUUUCUUUAAAGCAGGGAUCUUAGUUACCUUCUUGUUGCUGAGACAAAAUACCAAAUACUCACAUGUUGAAGGAGGAGAGGUUUAUUUGGCUCACAGUUUGUGGAGGUUUCAGUGCAUAGUCAGCUGGCUGCAAGGCAGGGUGGCACGGCAGAGGCUCACUGCAGAGGAGGAACAGUCCAUGGCAGGCUUGGCAGGAAAUAGCAGCCUUCCUCCUGCUGUCUCUUUUUAUUCCAUCCAGGCUACAAGCCUAUUGGUUGGUGCCACCCACACCCAGGUUGGUCUUCCCUCUUCAGUAAAUCCAUCAUCCAUGCCCAGAACUAUGCAAAACUCAUCAGUGGACUAAUCCAGUAUCACACACCUGUGAUUCAGUCACCUCCCCAAACCCUACCUACAAGCACAUGAGGCUUUGGGGGGCCACCUGGAUGCAAGCCAAAACAGCAGUUUUUUUGAGGUAUGAAUGACAGACAAUAAACUAUAUGAAUUUAAAGUAUACAUUUUCCUCAAUUUUACAUAUGUCUCUUGUAAGAAAGAAAAAGGAGAAAGACUUACAGCAAGGACAGGCUUUAUUGAGAUAAAGACCUGAGAGGGGCCUGCUGGCGCUCUUACAGAGUAAGGGGUUUAGAAGGGGUAGCAGAGAAUGAGGAGGCUGGAAACUAGCCAGGAUUAGGUCAUCUGUCCAUGGUCAUUGGUCCAUCUUGCAUUUACACAAGUUUCCCUUUGCUCUGAAACUACAGGCCUCUUGGUCUGGAAUGGUUGGUUCUAUAAGCAGGACUUUGGCUGCGAGGCCAGUUCAUUAGGGAUAUUGAUAUUUUUACAAGGCUAAAACAAUGUGGGGAGGGUCAGAACCCACGGGAAGCCAUCCUUCAGACUUCUUACACCUUCACCCAUGUUCUCUCACGAGGAAGACAGAGAACAGAUUCCUCUCCCUCAGAAAUUCCCAGAGCCCUCUCUGACCCCUCACUCUCAACCCAUACUCUGGCCACCACUGACUUCUUUCUUUUCUAUGGGUACAGAAUACAGUACUUUGGAUUUUCCUGGAAUGUGACAGACACGAGGCCAUACAGAAUAUGCCCUCUCAUCUGGCUUCUUUCACUCAAAUAACUAUUACAAGACUUAUCCAUGCUGCAACCAUGUCCACUAUCCAUUAUUCCCGUUGUACGGCUUACCACAAUCUGUGGCUGAAGAGACAUUCUUGUUUUGCGCAAUGCUAGGGGUUGAACCCAGGCUUUGUGCAUGCGAGGCAAGUGCUGUGCCUCUGAGCAAUGUCCAGCCCUGAAGAGAUGCAUUCCUCACUUACUGAUGGCUUUCCAGUAAAUCCCAGCUUGGAUUAUUGCAAAUAUCACUGCUCUAAUCAUUUACAUAUAAGUCUUCAUAUAGACAUAUGUUUCCAUCUAUCCUGGAGCAUUAAAUAGGAGAAUGGCAGAUGUAGUAGAUCAAUCCCUAACUUUUUAUGAACUCUCCUGGUUUCCAAAGUGGUUCUAUCAUUUUACACUCCCAUCAUCACCAUGCAAGAGCUCUGACUGCUCCACCGCCUCACCAACAUGUCCCGGUAGCCUUUUUUAUCAUAGCUCUUUUUUUUUUUUAUCAUAGCUCUUCUGGCUGGUGUGUGGUGCCAUCUCAUUGUGCCUAUGCUCUGCCUUUUCCUAGUGACUAAAAAGCUCUCUGGCAUCUUCUCAUGAACUUAUUCAGCACCCACAGAUCUUCUUGGUAAAGGAUCUGCUCAAAUUUCUUGCCCAUUUUAUCAGAUUGUUCAUUUGUUUUAGUUUUUUUGAGACAAGGUCUAUGAAGCCCAGGCUGGCCUUGAAGUCAUGGCAAUCCUCCUGCCUCAGCCUCCCCAGUGCCUGGGUUCCAGGUAUGUGCUACCAUCCCUGGUUACUUUACAUAGUCUGAAUGUGCAUCCAAAUCAGAUGUAUGAUUUGAAAAUGCUUCUUCCAGUCUGUCUUUUUAUUAUUAUUAUUUUUUUUUGGUACCAGGGAUCGAACUCGGGUCCUUGCGCUUGCGAGGCAGGCGUCAGAACCACUGAGCUAAAUCCCUGGCCCUGUCUUUUUACUUUUUAACAAUGUCUUUCAAAGAGCAGAAGUUCUUUAUUUUGAUGAAAUCCAAUUAUCAACUUUUUUUCUUUUAUGUAUCAUUCUUUUGUUACUGUAUUUAAGAAAUGUUUGCUCAACUCAAAGUCAAAAUAUUUUAUCUUAUAUGUUCUCCUAGAAGGUUUUUAGUUUUAGGUUAUAUAACUAAGUCUAUGAUUCAUUUUGAGUUUUUUUGGUAUAAGAUACAAGGAAUGAAUCACACUUGUCUUUUAGGGAGGGCACUGGAAUGCAAUUCUUGCAGCACCGUUUGUUGAGAAGGCAAUCGUUGGCUACUAAAUCACCUUCUUACUUUAUAAAAAUUAGUUAUCCAUGUAUGCAUCAUCUUCUUUUCCCAUUAUCUAUCUCAUUGCCUAAGCCAUACUGUCUUCAUUCCUGUAGAUUUAUAAUAAGCCUUGAAAUCAUGUAAUAUUAGUGCUCCUACCUUGUUCUUUUUUAGACUUGUUUUGGAUAUUCCAGGUACUUUGCAUUUCUAUUUCUGUAUGACAACAGAAAUUCCUUUCUCCCAGCUUUGGAGGCUGGAAUUUAGAGCUCAAAGUGCCAGGAGGCCUGGGUUCUCAGUGAUGGCUCUCUUCAGGGUUCUGGCCUCACAUAGCAUUGGGAGGGAGGCUUUUUUUGGGCAGUACUGGGGAUUGAAGGCUUGGCUUUUGUACUGAGCUACAUUGGCAGCUCUUUUAAAAUUUUGAGACACAAUCUAAGUUGCUAAAUUGCCCAGGUUGGGCUUGUCCCUGCAAUCCUCCUGUCUCAGCCUCCUAGAGUGCUAGGAAUGUAGGCAUGCACCCAGUUGUCUUCUUUUCAUAUGGGCACUAAUUCCAACAUGGAAGGUCCACCCUCGUGACUUAAUCCAACUGUAACCGCCUCUCAGGGGCCCUAGGUUCAUCCCCCUGUGCCACCAAACAAGCAUAAAAACCAAAAAGCCAAUCGCACAUUGCUCUUUAUUGGGAGGAUUUUUGUAAUCUCAUCUCAUCAUCUUCACCCAGUCUCUUAAAGAGGAGUUGUGAGAUCUGACGCAUCAGGUUCUUGGUAGAACUGGAGGGAUGCUGCUUCUUUAAAAUGCAUAUUCCUGGGCCCCACUGGCUCUCCAGAGUUAGAGUGGAGAAGUGGAGGUUAAUUUGCUUUCUUUAAAAAAAAAAAAGAAAAGGAAAUAAAUUGUGUGUGCACGUGUGCAUGAUACUAGUGCUUGGACCCAAUAAAAUGAUCUUCUUGAUCAUUUUGCAAAACCCUUUGCGAUGACCAGGAAAACUAGAUAACUGUUAGAGACCCCCGCGCCUGGAAGAUGCCUAAAGAUCAUCAAAUCCAAGCCCCAUCUCCGGUUUGGAUUGCCUGAGGACCAGCCCUGCCAGAGUCACCAGUCUCUGCACACUCUUAGAAACAGGGAAUUUGUUACUGCUCCUGAUAGCUGUGACUUUAGAAAACUCCUUCGGCCCAGCUAUUCCCCUACUGGGUAUCUUCCCCAAAGAAUUAAAACAAUCGUACCACAGCAAUAUAUGUGCACCUAUGUUUAUAGCGGCACGGUUUGUAAUAGCUAAGGUUUGGAAACAGCCCAAGUGCCCAUCAACUGGAAACUGGAUAAAGAAGAUGGGGUUUUUUUUUUUUUUAAAUGGAGUACUAUUCAGUCAUAAAGAAUGAGAAACUAGAGUCAUUUAUAGCUAAAUGGAUGCAUAUUGAGGCCAUACUCUUAAGUGAAAUAAAUAGGACACAUGUGUAAAUACCGAAUAGUAUCUCUAGUGUGAGAAACUGAAAGUGUAAAUAAGGAUGAAAAUGAUUAAAAUGAAUAAUUGAUAAUUUGAAAUAGGAAAAGGUCCAAAGGUGUAGGGGUGGUGGGAGGGGAAGGGGAAAGGGAAGAAGGGAAAGGAAAAAUUAUGAGAAAGAAAAAAAAAAUGGAAACAAAGUCUAUGUAAAUAGGGAAGGGUGGUGGGGGUGAAGGGCGCACAGGUAAUAGGGAAAAAAAUAAGAACCAAGAUACAUCAUGUACAGGUACAGGCACCCAGUGAUAAAUGUAAAUGUAUUGUAUACCUAAAAUGUACCAAUUAAUAUAUAAAUUUAAAAAGAAAACUCCUUCCGCUACUGAGUCAACUCUGUCUCUCAUUAAUUAGUCCUGGAUCCAGUAAACUUAUCUGGCCCUUCUGCCCCAGGAAAGCCCAUCAUGGUUUACUUGUUUGGAUUUAAAAGAUGCCUUCUUUUGCCUUCUCAUCACUCCCCUCAGUCAACCCAUCUUUGGAUUUGAAUGGGAAGACCCUAGUGAUAGGAAAAAUACUCAAUUUACUUGGACUAGAUUGCCACAGGGAUUUAAAACUCACCCACGCUUUCUGGGGAAGCCCUAGCCAAGGACUUGCUUGCCUUCCCCGUGGAACAAUAUAGCUGUGUCCUACUGCAGUAUGUGGCUGACUUACUGUUAUGCAGCUCAACCCAAGAAUGGUGCUGGGAAGGCACCAAAAGUUGUUGCUGCACUUACAGGAAAACUGGAUAUAAGGUAUCAUGGGGAAAAGCCCAGAUUUGUGUACAGCAUGUUAAACAUUUAGGAUUUCAAAUAACACAGGGUAUGCGUUGCCUAGGAAAUAAAAAACAGGUUAUUAGUGCCAUCCCUAUACCCUAAACAAAGAAACAGCUGAGAAGGUUUCUUGGGGCAGCAGGCUUCUGUAAAAUUUGGAUUCCGGGUUUUACAGAAAUCUCUAAACUCCUUUAUGAAGCCCUAAAGGGACAAGAGGAAAAUCAUCUGCAUUGCACUGUAAAACAGGAGGAAGCUUUAAAAAAAAAAAAAAAAAUUUAAAAUUGACUUAGGCAGCCACCCCAGCCCUAUGCAUACCAGAUGUAAAGCAGCCUUUUACUCUGUAUGUUACUGAAAAAAACCUAGGUGGCCCUUGGAAUGCUGACCCAAGAAGUAGGCCCAUGGAAUCAACCGGUGGCAUAUUUGUCUAAGAAUUUAGAUUCAGUAUCAAAAGGACGGCCUCAUUGUUUUUAGGCCUUAGCAACUUCAGUUCUGUUGAUUCAAAAACCCAGACAAGCUGACUUUAGGUCAGGAACUGACUGUGCAGGUUCCACACCUGGUCCUAGAACUGCUAAACACAAGGGAGCAUCAUUGGCUCUCAAAUAAUUGGGUUACUCAGUAUCAAGCCCUUCUCUGUGAGAAUCCCCACUUGUGGUUUAUUUCUAUAAAACUUUAAAUCCUGCUACCUUCUUGCCCACGAAGACAGGCCCUCCCAAUCAUGACUGCUUGAGUGUCACUGAUGAGCUCUUUUCCAGCCGCCCUGACUUGCAGAUGACACCCUUGUCCAAUGCUGACCUUGUUCUGUUCACGGAUGGGAGCAGCUUCGUGGAAGAUGGGGUUUGUCAUGCUGGAUAUGCGGUAACCAUGAAGGAUGUGGUGGUCCUAGCCAGGGCUGUCGGUGGUCUGGGCACUCAUACGGCACUCCGAUGGGCAAAGGGUAAAAAAGGUGUGUGUGUGUGUGUGUGUGUGUGUGUGUGUGUGUGUAUAUAUGGACUUUUGCUAUGCAUUUGCUACAUUAUACAUUAUUGGCAUGAUUUACUGACACUGAGGUCUUCUCAUGGCAGAAGGGAAGCUAAUUAAAAAUAAACAGGAAAUUAUACAGUUGCUAGAGGCAGUGUGGAAACCUAGCAAAAUCACAGGAACAUAUUGUUCAGGACAUCAGAAAGGCAAAGACUUCGUUGCACAAGGUAACAACAAAGCUGAUGCUGAAAGCCAAGAAAGACAACGCACUCAAAGCCUUGCUCUCACCACUCUGGAGGCUGGUGAAUCAACACACAGCUGAAGAAUGGAAGCACCAACAAGGACAACGACAUGGAUUAUUGUGUUGUACCAGAUCACCACUGCCUUAAGUCUCUUUGUUUUUGAACUACGAGUGUUUAGGCCUAGUUAUGAAAAGUUUGAUGAACAAUAUGUGACUUUUAAAACGGUAAAAUGGGAACCAGAAGGCUAUCUGUUUACAAUAUUCUUUGAUAAAAACAUUAUGGGGGACCUGGGAUAACUUCUGACUGUUGGGGGCUAUUCUAAUGAAAAAUUAUAUUGCAAAGAGAAAACACAAGUUUGGUUCAAUGGCUCCCUUGUUGGAUGAGCCACUGGUAAUUGUAACAAUUGUAAACAAGGUCAGUGUAAUCCUGUAUCUAUGUAUAUGCCAAUCCCAUGGGAUCUUAUUUGGCUAAAAGGAGUAAUAUAUUUCAUUAGAACAAGAAGUUUAAAAAGAUCUUGAGGAAAUUUGAGAAACACUUCAGGCUUUAGAAACCCAACUAGAUUCACUGGCCAAUGUCAUUACAGAAAAGACGUGCUCUCGAUUUGCUCACAGCCCAGAAAGGAGGGACUUGCUUAUUUCUUGGUGAAGAGAGUUGUUAAUAUGCUAAUAAAUCUGGUGUAGUACAAGAAUCACUAGGCAAACUAAAAGAUCAGAUCAAGGCUCUUGAUGAGAAAUUUGGUAUAGGAGAGCUAUCCUAUGAGAUUAAUUUUACUUGGGCAGAAUGAAAAAAACUUGGAUAGGAACUCAGAAUUCUGAGUCCCCUUCUUGUUACAGUAUUAAUAUUAAUGUUUGGUCCUUGUGUCAUCCAAUGGAUUUCAAAAUUUAUAUGGUAGCGCAGUGGUGCAGCUCAAGACUACCAAAUGGUAGUGUUAAAAAAAUGUAGAUAAACUGGAUAGAACUUGUAAUGGAUAGAAGAAUUAUCCCGAAGUAAACAGAGGGAGGAAUGAUACGGAAAAGUUUUAGAUAACUUAAUAGAUUGAAUAUUAAGGUAGCUGUAGAAGCAAAAUAAGUAAUGUGUUCUUUUAAGAUUUGCUUUUCCAUGGGCCGGGGAUUUAGCUCAGUGGUUUCGCCAACUGGUGCACAAGUGCAAGGACCUGAGUUCGACCCCCGGUACCAAAAAAAAAAAAAAAAAAAAAAGAUUAGCUUUUCCUGUAACUCCUUAAGGUGAGGAUUGUCUGACUCUAACCAGUAACUUCAUUAACCUAACAAAGUUACCCUGCCAGGGUGAAUUUACAAUGUACAUGGCCUAUCUUGUGUCUGUGACUUGUAAAUAGGAACUGGAAUUGUAUUUACAUAUCAAAGACCACUAGGGAUAAGAUAAUGGCUAAAAAGGAUAUAAAAAGGGAAAUGCUGAACAAAGGGGGGUGGAUAUUGACCAGAUUGGUUUCUAGCAUUCCCGUCCACUUGUGAGAAGAAAUUUUAUUAUUUUAUCCGAAUUCUGUGUCUCUGUGUAUUUCUUUCCAAGAUUUCCGUAAUAAUCUAACAUUCAAUGUUCCAUGUAGCUAGGGGCUCUGAGUGGGAUAGCAGAUGGUCCACAAGAGCCUUGCUAUUCAGUAUGGCCCACAAAGUAUAAGCAUUAGACACAUGUUAGAAUCUUAAGCCCUCUCCAGACCUGCUGAAUCUGAAUCUGCAUUUCAAGAAGAGCCUUGGGCGAUCUGCAUGUACAAUAAAGCUGGAGAAACAGGGUCUCAAGCAAAAGCCAGCAAAGGAUGGCCCAUCAACUAACUCAUCAGCCACCUGUCUUUGUAAAUAAACUUGAAUUCAAAUAUAGCCCC
Molecule: long non-coding RNA, 12404 nt
Organism: Heterocephalus glaber (naked mole-rat)
Lineage: Eukaryota; Metazoa; Chordata; Mammalia; Rodentia; Bathyergidae
Source: Ensembl